This 430-nucleotide ribosomal RNA is filed under the name uncultured bacterium. RNAcentral's name for it is "bacterial SSU rRNA". It matches the Rfam family "Archaeal small subunit ribosomal RNA", at positions 339 to 776 of the family's 1478-position model. The record is from RNAcentral.
GCGAGAAAACUUUGCAAUGUGCGAAAGCACGACAAGGUUAAUCCGAGUGGUUUCUGCUAAAGAAACCUUUUGCUAGUCCUAGAAACACUAGUGAAUAAGGGGUGGGCAAGUUCUGGUGUCAGCCGCCGCGGUAAAACCAGCACCUCAAGUGGUCAGGAUGAUUAUUGGGCCUAAAGCAUCCGUAGCUCGUUUUGUAAGUUUUCGGUUAAAUCCAUACGCUUAACGUAUGGGCUGCCGGAAAUACUGCAUAACUAGGAAGUGGGAGAGGUAGACGGUACUCGGUAGGAAGGGGUAAAAUCCUUUGAUCUAUUGAUGACCACCUGUGGCGAAGGCGGUCUACCAGAACACGUUCGACGGUGAGGGAUGAAAGCUGGGGGAGCAAACCGGAUUAGAUACCCAAGUAGUCCCUGAGCGGGCUGGCAAGGCGCAU